RNAcentral lists this ribosomal RNA (293 nucleotides) under uncultured bacterium. RNAcentral's name for it is "partial 16S ribosomal RNA". It matches the Rfam family "Bacterial small subunit ribosomal RNA", at positions 335 to 646 of the family's 1533-position model. The record is from RNAcentral.
GGCCUACGGGGGGCAGCAGUGGGGAAUAUUGCACAAUGGGGGAAACCCUGAUGCAGCGACGCCGCGUGAGUGAAGAAGUAUUUCGGUAUGUAAAGCUCUAUCAGCAGGGAAGAAAAUGACGGUGCCUGACUAAGAAGCCCCGGCUAACUACGUGCCAGCAGCCGCGGUAAUACGUAGGGGGCAAGCGUUAUCCGGAUUUACUGGGCGUAAAGGGAGCGUAGACGGCGGCGCAAGUCUGAAGUGAAAUCCCUUGGCUUAACCAUGGAACUGCUUUGGAAACUGUGCAGCUGUAG